Molecule: transfer RNA, 49 nt
Filed under: Eutreptiella gymnastica
Lineage: Eukaryota; Euglenozoa; Euglenophyceae; Eutreptiales; Eutreptiaceae
Description: partial tRNA
Rfam family: tRNA
About the family: Transfer RNA (tRNA) molecules are approximately 80 nucleotides in length. Their secondary structure includes four short double-helical elements and three loops (D, anti-codon, and T loops).
Source: RNAcentral
UAAUAGCUCAGUUGGUUAGAGCGUGGGUCUAAUAAGCCCAAGGUCAGGG